This 492-nucleotide ribosomal RNA is filed under the name uncultured bacterium. RNAcentral describes it as "partial 16S ribosomal RNA". It matches the Rfam family "Bacterial small subunit ribosomal RNA", at positions 29 to 507 of the family's 1533-position model. The record is from RNAcentral.
AGUGAACGCUGGCGGUAGGCCUAACACAUGCAAGUCGAACGGCAGCACAGUAAGAGCUUGCUCUUACGGGUGGCGAGUGGCGGACGGGUGAGGAAUACAUCGGAAUCUACUUUUUCGUGGGGGAUAACGUAGGGAAACUUACGCUAAGACCGCAUACGACCUACGGGUGAAAGCAGGGGAUCUUCGGACCUUGCGCGAUUGAAUGAGCCGAUGUCGGAUUAGCUAGUUGGCGGGGUAAAGGCCCACCAAGGCGACGAUCCGUAGCUGGUCUGAGAGGACGAUCAGCCACACUGGAACUGAGACACGGUCCAGACUCCUACGGGAGGCAGCAGUGGGGAAUAUUGGACAAUGGGCGCAAGCCUGAUCCAGCCAUACCGCGUGGGUGAAGAAGGCCUUCGGGUUGUAAAGCCCUUUUGUUGGGAAAGAAAAGCAGCAGGUUAAUACCCCGCUGUUCUGACGGUACCCAAAGAAUAAGCACCGGCUAACUUCGUG